Molecule: ribosomal RNA, 292 nt
Filed under: uncultured bacterium
Lineage: Bacteria
Description: partial 16S ribosomal RNA
Source: RNAcentral
GGACUACACGGGUUUCUAAUCCUGUUUGCUCCCCACGCUGUCGCGCCUCAGCGUCAGCAACGGCCCAGCAGAACGCCUUCGCCACUGGUAUUCUUCCCGAUCUCUACGCAUUCCACCGCUACACCGGGAAUUCCAUCUGCCCCUACCGUGCUCUAGCUCGCCAGUCUGACCGGCAGCCCCGCAGUUGAGCCGCGGGAUUUCACCAGCCACUUAACGGGCCGCCUACGCGCCCUUUACGCCCAGUGAUUCCGGACAACGCUCGCACCCUCCGUAUUACCGCGGCGGCUGGCAC